RNAcentral lists this transfer RNA (76 nucleotides) under Oscillospiraceae bacterium. RNAcentral's name for it is "tRNA-Lys". It matches the Rfam family "tRNA". Rfam says of the family: Transfer RNA (tRNA) molecules are approximately 80 nucleotides in length. Their secondary structure includes four short double-helical elements and three loops (D, anti-codon, and T loops). The record is from RNAcentral. Lineage: Bacteria; Bacillati; Bacillota; Clostridia; Eubacteriales; Oscillospiraceae.
GAACCAUUAGCUCAGCUGGCAGAGCAUUUGACUUUUAAUCAAAGGGCCCGGGGUUCGAAUCCCCGAUGGUUCACCA